AGAAAAAAAGAAAGGUAUGUGUGUUGACAAAAGUCAAGAAAAAAAUGCACUCUCCUGAGUCAAAAGGAGUUGGCAAUGGAUUGCGUGAUGUUUAAUUGCUCAGGGUGGAUGAGGAAGAGAGGGGAGAGAGAAGGAUGUGUUCUUCCCGAGGCAGAGGGCGGUUUAUUUGCUGUAUUUUGUAAGUGUUUCAGACUACCCAAAAGCACAGUGCCGCUUCUUACCUUGCCUUUCCUGGAGGAAAAGACGGGAACAGAAACAUGAAAAGAAGAAAAGAAAAAGAGGGCAGGAAAGAAACGAACAUUCUCUGGCAGGUAAGUGGCAAGGGCACUGGUGCAGCCCUGGCCGUCAUUGUCUUCCGCGCGUGCCGUGUCACAGCCGUCAUAUUAGGUUGCCACGGCAGGGUGCACGCAAAACGGGGAGAGAGCGAGGCAGACGACGCUGCGCCACCACCUGCACAUUUCAGAUUGUUGGCAGCCCUAACACUCAUCCUAGUAAGGAUGAAAAAAGAAGCAACUGCCAUGAUUUGCUCUUCCGCAAGAACCUUGUAAUCCAACAGCCCAAGGCAAAAAAGGCGAGAGGAAGUACUAUGACCUUCAGUAUCCAGAGGCGGCCCAGAGAGAACUACAGAAUCAUGCAGAAUCCGAAGACUCAUUUGCCUGGGAAAUGCCAGAACUAUUGUCUACAAUGCCAGUGGUCUAUAAACCUUGCAGUGUAAGGUCACAGUAUUGGCACGUUACAGGAACUUUGUUUUGGCCAUGGAAGCCUGACUCAACAUAACUGUAUAGAGUUUAAGAACAUAGGUUCUAAAAUAAAACAGCCUGGUUUCAAAUCCUGCCACCACAUUAUACAAAUUGUGGGAUAUUGAGCAAGGCGCUUCAUUUCUUUAAGUGCAGUAUAAUCAUUUGUAAAAUGAAACUACUAAGAAUCCCUUCCUCAUGGAGUGUUGGAAGGACUGGAAUCAAUGCGUAUGUAAAACUCAGAC
This 982-nucleotide long non-coding RNA is filed under the name Fukomys damarensis (Damara mole-rat). Its description in RNAcentral is "lncRNA (ENSFDAG00000029152.1)". The record is from RNAcentral. Lineage: Eukaryota; Metazoa; Chordata; Mammalia; Rodentia; Bathyergidae.